RNAcentral lists this transfer RNA (71 nucleotides) under Chlorobiota bacterium. Its description in RNAcentral is "tRNA-Cys". It matches the Rfam family "tRNA". From Rfam's summary of the family: Transfer RNA (tRNA) molecules are approximately 80 nucleotides in length. The record is from RNAcentral. Lineage: Bacteria; Pseudomonadati; Chlorobiota.
GGCAGCGUGGCCGAGGGGCUAGGCGGGGGCCUGCAAAGCCCUUGACGGCGGUUCGAAUCCGCCCGCUGCCU